RNAcentral lists this ribosomal RNA (448 nucleotides) under uncultured bacterium. RNAcentral's name for it is "bacterial SSU rRNA". It matches the Rfam family "Bacterial small subunit ribosomal RNA", at positions 30 to 491 of the family's 1533-position model. The record is from RNAcentral.
AUUGAACGCUGGCGGUAUGCUUAAGACAUGCAAGUCGAACGGUAACAGGUUAAGCUGACGAGUGGCGGACGAGUGAGUAACGCGUGGGAAUCUACCUUGUAGUGGGGGAUAAGCCAGGGAAACUUGGACUAAUACCGCAUACGCCCUAAGGGGAAAGGCGCAAGUCGCUAUAAGAUGAGCCCGCGUCUGAUUAGGUAGUUGGUGGGGUAAAGGCCUACCAAGCCGACGAUCAGUAGCUGGUCUGAGAGGAUGAUCAGCCACGUCGGGACUGAGACACGGCCCGGACUCCUACGGGAGGCAGCAGUCGGGAAUAUUGGACAAUGGGGGAAACCCUGAUCCAGCAAUACCGCGUGUGUGAAGAAGGCCUGCGGGUUGUAAAGCUCUUUUGUCCGGAAAGAAAAGCAAUCGGUUAAUACCCGGUUGUUCUGACGGUACCGGAAGAAUAAGC